ACUGUGUUAAAGAACAUUCUGUUGUCUAGUAUAAUAUUAAAUUGGAGUUAAAGAAAGGUAAAGUUAAAGGUAAACUAAAGUAAUCGCAUUGUGAGUUACCGUUUACGUUCUCUUUGUUUCUUCAAUUUAUAUAUAUAUUUAUACGUAUACUUUAUGUUACACAACACAAAGUAUAGAUAAAUAUUUAUAAACAACGCAAUAUAGAUAUAUAGAUAUAUAAAUAUAUAAAUAUACAAUAUCAUGGAAUCCUAACAAAGAGAGCCGCAGGUUGUACCGGCAAUUUAUGAAAACCCGCUCACCAUACCUAGUGAAAGUCGGGAUUGGAGCCUUUUACUUCAGUUCGGCCUCAGAAAACUCGAGGCAAGGGGCAUGUAUGUAUAUCAAGGCCAUCAAGUUAUCGAUCAAAGUUGCGAAUGUGCGAAAGCAGUCGUUUUACCUACAGUAAACCUAGGAACUCGCCGGAAUGAGUCCGUACGUUUAUCCACCUACACAUGACGAAUAUAGGAAGUGCGUAUGUUCUAGCCAUUGCUAAAUGCUGUUAAAAGGUUGAUGACAUGUAUCUGAGGAGGAAAAGACUGUGAUCAUACGCCGCUUAGCGAUGACUCCUGAAACUACGCCAAAUUAUCCAAUAAUGUUUUUUUACUUCAAUAUAUUGUUAAUUAAUUUAUGUUCUAUUAAUUAUCUCUUUUAUCAGAAGAAAUUAAUCAUUACAGGUAUAAUUAUUUCUUUAUAAUUCAUUAGUAAUAAUGAAUUAGUAUGAAAUUAU
This is a long non-coding RNA of Microplitis demolitor, 766 nucleotides long. RefSeq lists it as uncharacterized. NCBI's taxonomy places the organism in Eukaryota, Metazoa, Arthropoda, Insecta, Hymenoptera, Braconidae. The record is from RefSeq and is a predicted model, not a curated record. The transcript has 3 exons.